UAUCCGUUACACUUACACAUCCACCGUCCAUUAUUUCCAUCACCACUUAAUCUUGGCCGUUCAUCUCGAUCCCCUUCCCCUAUAAAUACCCUUCAGCCGUUCUCACGAUUCACCUUACUUUGCUGGUCCCUGAACGCAAGGGAGGUGACGAUCAGGUUUCGGUUUUUGUAGAUUAUCGGAUUUGUUGUUUCGCUUCUUCUGUUUGGGUUUGAUUCUAUGCUUUCGAUAUCGAUGGAUUAAGUUUUGUUAUCGCUAUGCAUUAGGGUUUGGUGAUGGAUUUUGCUAACCGAUUAAAAGUUGGAUCUAAUGACCUUUGAAGGUUGUGACGAUAUAAAGAACCAGAGAUUGUGUAUAUUUGCAGGCUUGUUUUAUUGGUUCAGAUGAGACCCAAACGACAUCGUGGAUCAUGGUGAAGUAGGUGUUUGGGCAUCGUGGAUUCAGUACCUAGUUCGGCUUGCGUUUUGAUUUGGACGAAAACCUCAUCGAUUUACCUUCUAUGGGAGUCCUUUCGCUUACCUCCUUUGAUUUUGUUCUGAAGUUUAGAAUAUAAUGAUUUGGAAAUUUCCCUCGUUUUUUAUCAAUCAAAUAAGCGGAGCUUUGUUGUUAUUUUUCAGGCCUCGUUUGCGGUGUUUGACACACGAGGGUUAGAUGUUAUCAUGUUAUGGUUAGCUGAUAACUCCAUAGGUUCUUAUGGGAUCUGAUUGUAUGGCUAUGAGGUUGGAUUUUAUACUGAUUUGCGGAUGCAAUGGAAUGUUGAAUGUCAAAAUUUUCCUUCUGGAUCUAUUGAUUUGCAAGAGAUAGUAAUCGUGUUGCAGAUUUGAGCUUAUGUCUGCACCUUUUCAGUCUUUGGAUAGAGUCCAUUUGUAAAGGUUUUCAUUGGUUUGCUGCAUAUGGAUUAUUGUUUUUGGUUACAUGCUUAUUCUUUUACAGUUUGUCAAAAUGCGCGUCUUUAUAUAUCUUUCAAGUCCCUGAAAUUUGUAAGUAAUACCAUGUUUAUGUCCUCCUUUUCCCUAUGAUCAU
Molecule: long non-coding RNA, 1020 nt
Organism: Prunus dulcis (almond)
Lineage: Eukaryota; Viridiplantae; Streptophyta; Magnoliopsida; Rosales; Rosaceae
Exons: 2
Source: RefSeq, a predicted model, not a curated record